Molecule: ribosomal RNA, 484 nt
Filed under: uncultured bacterium
Lineage: Bacteria
Description: partial 16S ribosomal RNA
Rfam family: Bacterial small subunit ribosomal RNA
Source: RNAcentral
AUUGAACGCUGGCGGCAGGCCUAACACAUGCAAGUCGAGCGGAUGAAGGGAGCUUGCUCCUGGAUUCAGCGGCGGACGGGUGAGUAAUGCCUAGGAAUCUGCCUGGUAGUGGGGGAUAACGUCCGGAAACGGGCGCUAAUACCGCAUACGUCCUGAGGGAGAAAGUGGGGGAUCUUCGGACCUCACGCUAUCAGAUGAGCCUAGGUCGGAUUAGCUAGUUGGUGGGGUAAAGGCCUACCAAGGCGACGAUCCGUAACUGGUCUGAGAGGAUGAUCAGUCACACUGGAACUGGGACACGGUCCAGACUCCUACGGGAGGCAGCAGUGGGGAAUAUUGGACAAUGGGCGAAAGCCUGAUCCAGACAUGCCGCGUGUGUGAAGAAGGUCUUCGGAUUGUAAAGCACUUUAAGUUGGGAGGAAGGGCAGUAAGUUAAUACCUUGCUGUUUUGACGUUACCAACAGAAUAAGCACCGGCUAACUUCGUG